GACAGAGGGUGCAAACGUUGUUCGGAAUUACUGGGCGUAAAGCGUGUGUAGGCGGCCAUGUAAGUCGGAUGUGAAAGCCCCGGGCUCAACCCGGGAAGUGCACUCGAUACUGCGUGGCUUGAGUAUCGGAGAGGUUGGUGGAAUUCUCGGUGUAGAGGUGAAAUUCGUAGAUAUAUGGAAGAACACCAAUAACGGCGAAGGAAGUUAACUAUUCUGUUACUGACAUUGAGGCACGAAAGCGUGGGGAGCAAAACGG
Molecule: ribosomal RNA, 256 nt
Filed under: uncultured bacterium
Lineage: Bacteria
Description: partial 16S ribosomal RNA
Rfam family: Bacterial small subunit ribosomal RNA
Source: RNAcentral